RNAcentral lists this long non-coding RNA (2045 nucleotides) under Rattus norvegicus (Norway rat). Its description in RNAcentral is "long non-coding RNA NONRATT010454". Lineage: Eukaryota; Metazoa; Chordata; Mammalia; Rodentia; Muridae. The record is from RNAcentral.
AGCUGUUGGACCUCCACUGGAGAGUGGCAGAAAAGGCCAGCGAGAAGGCUGAGAAUAGGCGUUUCAAGAGGGAGAGCCGGGAGAGCGAGUGGAGUGUGGGUGACCAAGUCCUCUUGCUGUCUCUCCCCAGGAAUGGCAGCAGUGCCAAAUGGAUGGGUCCUUUCUAUAUUGGGGACCGCUUGAGCCUAUCGCUCUAUAGGGUGUGGGGCUUCCCAGUCCCAGACAAGCUGGGCUGUGUCUAUCCUAGCAGUCUAAUGAAGGCCUUUCCCAAGAAUGACACACCCCUGCCCCUUGACUUGGAGCAGUGAGUUAGAAUGGUCGGGGAGCUGCCUGUUCUAGGGGGUCCCGCAUUUCUGCUGCUAGUCCUCCCUUCUGAUCUGAGCAGUGCUCUCAGCUCUGUGGGGCCCCUUAGUUGUGCCUUUUGUGGAGAAGGUCCUUAGUAAAGCUUUGCUGAAUUGCCUUGACCUAGGGAAGAAUGUCCCUAGAAGACAUCCCCCGGUAGGGGUGUUUGGAGAAUGUGCCAAAGGUUGUCCUAUGUGGGCUCUGGAAGUUUUACACUUGGGAGCAAACGAGUUUCCUCAACAAGGUAGGCCAGGCUCACAGUCCUCCCCAAGUGCCGCCUUUUCCCUUUUUACACACUCAGGUGUGUAUUGGUGUGCACACCCCUCCCCAGUGUCUUAUACCCAACAUACACUUAACAGUGUGGAUUUGGACCUGCCAGUGGGUAGGUAUCACGGCUUUCUCUCGUGGGAGUGCCUCCCCUUACACCGUGCAUUUGUUUGCCCUUGGAGUUCUCGGUGGCACAGGCACACCGGCAGCAAGAAGGUAGCUGUUCUCCAGUCAGCCUCCCUUGCCAGCACCGGGACAGCUGUUAAGGAAGGGUUGGAGCCUUUCUGUGCCUCCAGGAUGGUGGCUCUGGGUGGGGGUUGAUCAGCCAUAAGUCACCUACCUGUUCCUAAGGGGAGGUGGAAGGGGAUGAAUUGGCCUACCUCAUUUGAUUCCAGUCAGCAGAUGAUUCCCGACCCCUGCUGUGAUGGCAGUCACUUCACAGGAAUCAAGGGCCUUGAUACCAAACCUGGCAUCUGUGCUGGAAGAGCUGCUUCUGUUAGGUUCGGUGGUGCUCACAACUCUGGCUCAAGGGGAGGGCAUCUGACGUGGGUAGUUUGACACAUGGCUGGGCGCCGGGUGGCUUUUUCCUCUUGCACCUAUGACUCCUCUCACCCCCUGCCAAAGCUCACAACCCUCUCCUGCCUGCAGUGUACCCAUCUCCUUAGAUGGGACUGCUUUGUCCUGAUCAGCUGCAGUGCCCAGAAUCUGCCUCUGUGUAGAGCUCGCUUACAGCCAGUGUGUAGAGCGAGCUCUCUCAGCAGGAGUGAGGGCUGAGAUUCUCACUACCCUGCAUUCCUACACAGCCAAGCUGACAGGCUGGAGAGAAAGGCCAGCACCAGGCCACUCUGGCUUGGAGUCCUAGUAGCUCAUUUCUUGAGGAGCCAAUCUGGUUUUCCAGCUGAGCUCAGGUUGCCAGAAUGCUGGGCCCUGAGGAGAAGUCACAUUGAGCCCGGCUUUCACAGCAGAGAAAAGAGGGAAAUGACUUGCCCACAGUCAUACAGCUGAGUUGUGGCUGAGCUGGGACCCGGAUAAACCGUCCUGACUUCAAGUUCAGCACGAUGGGUUCUAGCGACAUGUUUAAGCAUAGGAAUCCUUUUGGAUUUUGUACCUCUGUUUCCUUUGAUGCCAUUCCCUAACCCUUCUAGAUAACUACCUGGAUGCUGCUCUUCAGCCAAUCCAGCUGUCAGCCCUGCCCAGGAACGAGUGCUGGGUGCUCCCGGGAUGCUGAAAGGUUAGCUGUAGAAUUUUUACCAGGUACCGUUAUUUCUUCACACUGCCUCACCUUUGUCUCUCCCCCACCCCUUCGUAUUGUAGUCAGCCUCACCCUCCCACCCCAGGGCUGUAUUCCAACCCCUCUUCCUGUUAAGUACAAUUUCCAUCAUACGCUCUUUCAAGUGAUUUUUAUUUUAUUUUUCAAUAAAUCAAUUUAAAAAUGG